UGAGUAACGAGAAAACGGGUGAGAAACCCGUUCGCCGCAAACCCAAGGUUUCCUAGGUAAAGCUAAUCUGCCUAGGGUUAGUCGACCCCUAAGAUGAGGCUGAAAAGCGUAGUCGAUGGGAAACAGGUAAAUAUUCCUGUACUAUGAUAUGUUUCGAUGGAAUGACACAGAUUGUUUGCGUACGCGUUAGAUUGGUAGAUAACGUCAAACAGUUUAGACUUGUGAUGAGUAAAAUGCUUGUUGCUUUAAGGUUGAGGCUGGAUAGUGACUGGGCUUUCGGGUUCAGGAAGUUGCGUGAGCUAGGCUGUCGAGAAAUAAUUUCUAAGGUUAGGCAUGUCGUAAUCGUACCGCAAACCGACACAGGUGGGUGAGAUGAGUAUUCUAAGGCGCUCGAGAUAAUCUUCCCUAAGGAACUCUGCAAAUUAGUCUUGUAACUUCGGAAAAAGAGACGCUUGAAUCUUGGUAGCAAUAUUGAGAGGAGAGUCGCAGUGAAAAGGCCUGGCCGACUGUUUAACAAAAACACAGAUCUCUGCAAACAUGUAAAUGGAUGUAUAGGGAUUGACACCUGCCCAGUGCUGGAAGGUUAAAAGGAGAGGUUAGCGUAAGCGAAGCUUCGAAUUGAAGCCCCAGUAAACGGCGGCCGUAACUAUGACGGUCCUAAGGUAGCGAAAUUCCUUGUCGGGUAAGUUCCGACCUGCACGAAUGGUGUAACGAUCCGGGCACUGUCUCGGGGAAGAACUCGGUGAAAUUGAAUUAUCAGUGAAGAUGCUGAUUACCCGCAACAGGACGGAAAGACCCCGUGAACCUUUACUAUAACUUGACAUUGAGUUUUGUUUUGUGAUGUGUAGGAUAGAUGGGAGGCUUUGAAGUGGGAGCGCCAGCUUUCAUGGAGCCAUCGU
This 899-nucleotide ribosomal RNA is filed under the name Brachyspira intermedia. RNAcentral's name for it is "bacterial LSU rRNA". It matches the Rfam family "Bacterial large subunit ribosomal RNA", at positions 1303 to 2192 of the family's 2925-position model. Lineage: Bacteria; Pseudomonadati; Spirochaetota; Spirochaetia; Brachyspirales; Brachyspiraceae. The record is from RNAcentral.